UCUGGUUGAUCCUGCCUGAACUGAUGUGUUUAUUUUUCAAAGAUUAAGCCAUGCAUGUAUAAGUUUAAUCGUUUAUCGAGAAACCGCGAAACGGCUCAUUACAAUGGCCAUUAUUUACUUGAUCUUGAUUGUCUAAAUGGAUAACUGUGGAAAAGCUAGAGCUAAUACAUGCACUAAAGCUUUGUCCUUACGGAAAAGCGCAUUUAUUAGAACAAAACCACGCGGCUUCGGCUGCUUCUGUUGACUCAGAAUAACUUAGCUGACCGCAUGGCCUUGUGCCGGCGGCGUGUCUUUCAAGCGUCCACUUUAUCAACUUGACGGGAGCAUAAUCGACUCCCGUGGUGGUGACGGAUAACGGAGGAUCAGGGUUCGACUCCGGAGAAGGGGCCUGAGAAAUGGCCACUACGUCUAAGGAUGGCAGCAGGCGCGCAAAUUACCCACUCUCGGCUCCAGGAGGUAGUGACGAGAAAUAACGAGACUGUUCUCUUUGAGGCCGGUCAUCGGAAUGGGUACAAUUUAAACCCUUUAACGAGUAUCAAGGCAGAGGGCAAAGUCUGGUGCCAGCAGCCGCGGUAAUUCCAGCUCUGCAAAUACAUAGAAUUAUUGCUGCGGUUAGAAAGCUCAUAGUUGGAUUCGUAUCGAUACCUGGAACCCUUCGGGUGUCUCUAGGUGUUAUCGAUUUAUCGUAAUGUUCGGUUUUGAGUCCUUAACAGGAUUCUUAACAGGCAUUGCAAAGUUUACUUUGAACAAAUCAGAGUGCUUCAAACAGGCGUUUUCGCUUGAAUGAUCGUGCAUGGAAUAAUAGAAAAUGAUUUCGGUUCAGUUUUAUUGGUUUUACGGACUGAGAUAAUGGUUAACAGAGACAAACGGGGCAUUUGUAUGGUCCCGUGAGAGGUGAAAUUCUUGGACCGUGGCCAGACAAACUACAGCGAAAGCAUUUGCCAAAGAAUGUUUUUUAUUAAUCAAGAACGAAAGUCUUCCGGUUCCGGGGGAAGUAUGGUUGCAAAGCUGAAACUUAAGGGAAUUGACGGAAGGGCACCACCAGGAGUGGAGCCUGCGGCUUAAUUUGACUCAACACGGGGAAACUCACCCGGCCCGGACACUGUGAGGAUGACAGAUUGAUAGCUUUUUCAUGAUUCAGUGGAUGUGGUGCAUGGCCGUUCUUAGUUCGUGGAGUGAUUUGUCUGGUUUAUUCCGACCAGACAAAUGGUGGACUUUGCUCGUGGCUGCUUGAGCUUCCUUACGGGGCGGCGCUUGUGACUAGUAGUGAGGACUGCUUGUGGAGUGCUUCAGCUGCGUGCUAUUUCGCAAGAUAUAGUACUUCGAUUGGCGCUGAACAACCAGUUUAGAACUGGCACGAACUCCGGGAAUCCGACUGUCUAAUUAAACAGAGGAGACGGAUGGUCCUUGCAGGACGUUGACCGUGUCUGAUUUCUGCCCAGUGCUCUGAAUGUUAAGCCAAGGAAACUUGAUUAAGCGCGGGUAAACGCGGGAGUAACUAUGACUCUCUUAAGGUAGCCAAAUGCCUCGUCGGCUAACUACCGACGGCGCACGAAUGGAUCAACGAGAUUCCCACUGUCCCUAUCUACUAUCUAGCGAAACCACAGCCAAGGGAACGGGCUUGGCAAAUUUAGCGGGAAAGAAGACCCUGUUGAGCUUGACUCUAGUCUGACUUUGUGAAGAAU
RNAcentral lists this ribosomal RNA (1685 nucleotides) under Meloidogyne arenaria. RNAcentral describes it as "SSU rRNA". It matches the Rfam family "Eukaryotic small subunit ribosomal RNA", at positions 1 to 1404 of the family's 1831-position model. Lineage: Eukaryota; Metazoa; Nematoda; Chromadorea; Rhabditida; Meloidogynidae. The record is from RNAcentral.